UCGGUCAGCUGUCAAAAGUGCAGGUGAGCGCCGUUGAUGAUUGAUUUUGUUGUUGUUCGAUUGUAAUGACGGUGGUCGUGGAAAAAGGCUCGGGAACAAAUUUACUUAAAUUUUGGAUUUGGAUUUGAAUUUCAAAUCACAUCAAAUGCAUCUUCAUGACUAAAACUUCACCUAAUAAAAGUGCCAAAUCCGUCUGACGAUGUCCAGCACGUACCGGAGUCUACCUUCUCCCAAUCCAAACAACACCACCGACAGUGUAGUGCAGUAUAUUGAACAUUGGCGAGCAAGAUAUUCCGCUUGUGGUAGUGUGACCAAAAAAGAACCCCAUUAGCGUAAAGUGUUGCAUACGAGGAAAAACAGGAACAAUAAAGGAUCGCAGCACAUUAGAAUAACCGUCAAGCAGAUAAAUAAAUUCAAGCUUAUUCAUGAGAAACUGCGAAACAGUUACCGUACAAUGUGUACCUAGUAUAUUUAUUUUUGUGGACGAUAUCUCGAUCCUCCAGCACCUUUGGAGCCGGAAUGUUCAGGACCGUCAUGCCAUCGACAUCGAACCAACAUCCCAACCACAAUAGCCCUUACGAGUACAUCAGGGUCAUGCCAGUAAUAUACUGCAACAGGUGGCGCCUAGGGACUAUUCACAGAUUAAGUAACGCACAAAUGGAUUUUUAAUUCCCGUCUCCCUAUCGUAAAAAAAUGUGGAAAAGUUCUUUUUUGCUUAUACAGCGUUACUUAAUUUGUGAAAAGUCUCCUAGCUUUUCGUCUGAACCGCGAAAGCGCAAAGUGGGAAAAACUGUAUCCCGUAAAUUUGACACCAAUGAAGGAAGGCUAUAAAUGUGACGUUGAAAAAUAUUGAGUUUGCUUCGAACAACCGAAAACGCUUAGACCCACAAAAACGCUCAACGAUUGUCGCUGCUAGUAAAUAGUGUGAUUCACGAAGGUUCAGGAAUUGGACAACGUCGCAUACGGAUCUGUGAAGGGAACACUACAAGAUUCCUCGCUUUUUUCAGCUGAAGUUGGGUAAUGGAGUUCAAAUGACCGUUGUGUACGCUGUGUAUCACAAAAUUUUAAUAAAACAAAUCGUCGAUUAAUAAGACAAUACGUUGUGAAAAUAUUUCAUUGAUCCAGUCGCUUUAUACUAUACUAAGAAAAAUGCAGGAUAUUACGUAGUUAUACUUCGAUUGUACUUCCUACAAGCGUCAAGUAAUUUGUAAAUGACCCGUUACCACGUAUACAAAAUAAGCUGUUUGAAUUUAUUGUAGAAGAGUAAAAUUGUAAAUGCCACGAAUAAUCACCGUCACGGAGUAAUAAAUGUGAAAAUCAAUUGCUUAAUUUAUUAUAACCAAGAAUAAAAGAAUGUCAUAAAUGUUCGGAAUUAACAGUAGUCAAAGGUAAAUAUGAAUAUUACAAACAAAUAGUAAUUAAAAUCAUCAUUACGUUGUAAUGUUGAACUGGAAUAAAAACUCAAAGGUUG
Long non-coding RNA from Armigeres subalbatus, 1471 nucleotides. RefSeq lists it as uncharacterized. The transcript has 3 exons. The record is from RefSeq and is a predicted model, not a curated record. NCBI's taxonomy places the organism in Eukaryota, Metazoa, Arthropoda, Insecta, Diptera, Culicidae.